This 376-nucleotide ribosomal RNA is filed under the name uncultured bacterium. RNAcentral describes it as "bacterial SSU rRNA". It matches the Rfam family "Bacterial small subunit ribosomal RNA", at positions 521 to 896 of the family's 1533-position model. The record is from RNAcentral.
UAAUACGAACUGUGCAAACGUUAUUCGGAAUCACUGGGCUUAAAGGGUGCGUAGGCGGCUUGCUAAGUAGGGUGUGAAAGCCCCCGGCUCAACCGGGGAAUGGCGCCCUAAACUGGCGAGCUGGAGUGAGAUAGGGGUGUGCGGAACUUCCAGUGGAGCGGUGAAAUGUGUUGAUAUUGGAAGGAACGCCUGUGGCGAAAGCGGCACACUGGGUCUCAACUGACGCUGAGGCACGAAAGCCAGGGGAGCAAACGGGAUUAGAUACCCCGGUAGUCCUGGCCGUAAACGAUGAAUACUAGCGGGGAGGAGGCUCGUCCUCUUUCCCACGGAGCAAAAGUGUUAAGUAUUCCGCCUGGGGAGUAUGGUCGCAAGGCUG